GCCGCCCCCUCGCCCGCUCCCGCCCAGCGCAGAGCCCCGCGCCGCCUCCUCCCCUCGGGGAGAAGGGAAAGAGCAGGCCAUGGCCCGGAAGGCAAGCUCUAGGCCUGGUGUGGAACUUGAACUCAUGACCCUGAGACAAAGAGUCACAUACUCUAACGACUGAGCCACCCAGGCACCGCUUUCUCAAAGAGACAGAGAGAGAGCAUGAGAGGAGAGAAGGUCAGAGGGAGAAGCAGACUCCUUGCUGAGCAGGGAGCCUGAUGCGGGACUCGAUCCCAGGACUCCAGGAUCACGACCUGAGCUGAAGGAGUCGCCCAACCAGCCAAGCCACCCAGGUGCCCAAGAUGCUCUUAUUUUAGAAGAACCACUUUACCUUUUGUCCCAGAGGAAAGAACCUGCUGCACGUACCACAGACUUGGUUCUGCACUAAAGAGCACUGUGACCUUGUGGUCAUGAUUCAACUGUGAAAUGAGAGAUGCCAUGAGGGCCUUUCUAGUUCCUUCUGUCCAUUUUCUCCAUGUCCAUCACUUCUAAUGAGUGAGGUGAGACAGAAGGUUGCUUGAGAGGGAGCCUCUGGGCUUUCCCCCAAUCUGAGAGACUCGUGGCCUCCUAAUAAGUGUCUCCCAGUGUAAGGGUAUCAGUGUGACAGCAGGUGAAACCAGAGGAGGCCGCCAGGACACCUGCACUGGCUCUGAACUCGACUGCUAGGUUCUGAUUUGUACCGGAGCAGACAGGGAAAUAGGACCAAAUUCAGCUGGGAGCUGCUGGCACCAGAGGCCGACAAGGUGGGCAGGGCCACAUUCCUCAGAAGGCAGAGCUGAGUCACCAAGGCAGAAACCAGGCUAUGAGUAAGUUUCUCUCAGUCCUCAAACAGAAGCCGGGGCCACCAGGGAGCAGAGUGGAGCUGGCGAGGGUGAGGCCGGCUGGACAGUCUGGGCUGGACACACGCCUCAUUGCCAUGGGCGUCUCCUUUCAAAAUGAAAAAACAGACUCUUUCUAGCUACUCUAUCUGGAGAUCUGUAUCAGUCCAAGAUGAGGGAGGUAUGCGAGCUCAUUGCCAGCACAUUUGAGUUUAACCCACCUCUUUACCGACCCUGUUUGGGCAACGGAUGUGUAAAGGGAAACACUGCAAUUUCACCUGCCCCAAGCUCCCCAGGGCCCAUCGUCAACAGGAGUGAUGGCAAUGGAUCAAAGUCUCACUAGCUAACCUGCCGGAUGGGUCCUAGUCGACUGGCACCAGGCUGUGGGGUGACCCCAGGGACCAUUGUCCUCCAGGACCAACGCACAGCGAGCGAGAGAAUUACUGUUAACAGCGCUGAGCUUGGAUCUCUGCUCUAUCCCUUAGCAGCCAAAAGACCUCAGCUCUCUCCAAGAUAAGAAUACCCGCACUAUAAAGGUUAAGACAAUUAAAGGAGGCUGUGCCUGCAGAGCAGCUAGCAGAUGGCAAGCCCAAAAAUAAAUUAAACUGGUCUGUUCGAUCUGGAACCAGAUAAGGAAUGCUCCGUCUACAUUUUCCAGCUGAUACUGCAGAAGGUCAAGUGACAAUAUUUUGGAGAUCACUCUGCCAGAAGCUCGCUUUAAGAAUUAAAAGUUUCAGGGCGCCUGGGUGGCUCAGUGGGUUAAGCCUCUGCCUUUGGCGCAGGUCAUGAUCUCAGGGUCCUGGGAUUGAGCCACACAUCAGGCUCUCUGCUCAGCGGGGAGCCUGCUUCCCCCCCUCUCUCUGCCUGCCUCUUCCUACUUGUGAUCUCUGUCAAAUAAAAUCUUUUAAGUUUUGGGGUGCCUGGGUGGCUCAGUUGGUUGGGUGGCUAACUGCCUUUGGCUCAGGUCAUGAUCCUGCAGUCCUGGGAUCCAGUCCUGCAUCCCCCCCCCCUUUACUCAGCAGGGAGUCUGCUGCUCCCUCUGACCUUCCCCCUUCUCAUGCUUGCUCUCUCUCUCCCUCUCUCUCAAAUAAAUAAAACCUUUAGGGAAAAAAAAAAAAAGAAUUAGAAUUAGAAGUUUCGGUUUUUUUCAUGGCUUUCCUGGCAGCAAUCUGAGUAGUCAAGGGAGGAGGAAGAGGCAGACAGGGAAGUGCCGAUGGUUACAAAGCAGCAGCCUGUUCAACGAGUGUGUCCCACGGUGCUUCCUGGCCCCAGGUUUGUAAAAUACACGGUCAUUAUAUUUGAGCAUCCUAAGCAAGAUGCAUGCAUCAUAUAUGUACACAUGAAUAUUUACAGACAUACAUGAAAUGUUACCUUCACUGCACUAUGCAUGUAAACCAGCAUUAUGCUCAUUUAGGGUGGACUCUAACAUUAGCCCCUGAGUUUACUCUCACACAUGUAGCCAGACACUAAAAAUACUUAAAACACCAAUGAAAACCACCCCCAGACACAAAGCUCUGUAGGCAGAGGUCAGAGAAAAAAAAACCCUUCAGUGAGAAAACAGCACCUCCUAGUGGCAGGUCAUUAAAGAAACAGAAGUCAAGGCUGGAAAACACCUCUGAAAAUCCAGCCACAAAUCCGACUCCUUGUUUCCAGUUUCAAAAAGAAGUCUCAUAUUAAUAAAUAUCAGUAACCCAAAUUCAAUUUUGUUGGGCAAAACACUCAGCUAACUUUCCCUCUUACUUUUUAAACUAACCAUGAUCAAAUAAAUGAUUGCUACAGAUUUACAGGAAGUCAGUAACAGGAAGUCAAUAGUAAUUUUUUUUUUGGUCAAUAGUAAAAUUAAAGUGUCAUGUGUAAACUCAGACUUGUCUUUGUGAAAAGGGAUUAAGAGAAAUAGUAAACUAAAGCAAGCAGCUCUUCUGAAAUUUUACUUACAAAAUUCACCAAAAAGGCUGCAAGAUAAAAAGCAAAGCAAGCCCUCAGAUUAUAGACUGAAACUACAUGGGAAAUUUUGAAGAAAAAAAAAUCAGAGAAGUCCAACCAAAUUAGCAUUUUAGAAAACUUAAAACAUGGUGGAGGAAAUUAAUGGAAAUAAUAAUGAAAGAAUAGUUCCCUUGGUUUUCAUUUUUUUAAUAAAGAUUUUUUUUUAAGAUUUUUAUUUAUCUAUUUGUCAGAAGCACAGACAACUACAGGCAGAACAGGCAGAGCAGGCAGAGGGAGAAGCAGGCUCCCUGCUGAGCAAGGAGCCUGAUGUGCGACUUGAUCACAGGACCUUGGGAUCAUGACCUGAGCUGAAGGCAGACAUGAAGACAUGACUGAGCCACACAGGCAUCCCAGUUUUCAUAAUCUCUACACUCAACUUGGGGUUCACCACACUGACAUCAAGAGUCACUCGCUCUACCGACUGAGCCUGCCAGGAGCCCCUCCCUUAGUUUUUAUAAAUGAAAAAAUGGAAUUCAAGCCUAAGAGCCAAAUUGCUUGAGUGGCCAGAUUUCUGUCCCUGUGGCAGAGCUUGGAACCUUCUAGGGAGGGCAGAAUGGCUACCGCGAUCAUCACGGAUUAACACCACGCCAAUGAAAACAAGGAGUCUUGGUGGAAGUUAAAGUAUUUAUUGAUGUGUUUCAACUGUACAUUCUCCACAAAUCAGAUUAAGGAGUUUGUAGGUGAAGUUUAUCUGUGCAUAGUGGGAAGACACAUGGAUAAGGGAGGAGGGGGGAAGAAAGGAAAAAAAAAAAACCCUAAAAAACAAAAAAACGGUCACAGGGAAAUAGAAAAAAAUACACCACAGGUUACCAGAACCUCCAGACUAAAAUAAAAAAAGGAGAAGAAAGAAAAAAA
This is a long non-coding RNA of Mustela lutreola (European mink), 3698 nucleotides long. RefSeq lists it as uncharacterized. The record is from RefSeq and is a predicted model, not a curated record. Lineage: Eukaryota; Metazoa; Chordata; Mammalia; Carnivora; Mustelidae. The transcript has 3 exons.